GAUGAACGCUGGCGGCGUGCCUAAUACAUGCAAGUCGAGCGAACGGACGAGAAGCUUGCUUCUCUGAUGUUAGCGGCGGACGGGUGAGUAACGCGUGGAUAACCUACCUAUAAGACUGGGAUAACUUCGGGAAACCGGAGCUAAUACCGGAUAAUAUUUUGAACCGCAUGGUUCAAAAGUGAAAGACGGUCUUGCUGCCACUUAUAGAUGGAUCUGCGCUGCAUUAGCUAGUUGGUAAGGUAACGGCUUACCAAGGCAACGAUGCAUAGCCGACCUGAGAGGGUGAUCGGCCACACUGGAACUGAGACACGGUCCAGACUCCUACGGGAGGCAGCAGUAGGGAAUCUUCCGCAAUGGGCGAAAGCCUGACGGAGCAACGCCGCGUGAGUGAUGAAGGUCUUCGGAUCGUAAAACUCUGUUAUUAGGGAAGAACAUAUGUGUAAGUAACUGUGCACAUCUUGACGGUACCUAAUCAGAAAGCCACGGCUAACUACGUG
Molecule: ribosomal RNA, 497 nt
Filed under: uncultured bacterium
Lineage: Bacteria
Description: partial 16S ribosomal RNA
Rfam family: Bacterial small subunit ribosomal RNA
Source: RNAcentral